AUGGACGCCGUAGGACGCAGGCCGCAGGGGUUGUGGACGUACGAUGCGGAGGCGUCCCAAGUGCGACUGUACAGGGAGCCGGAGUGCGAGUUCCUGACGGAGCAGGUGACCUGCAUGCGCAACGGCCGGCGCGAUGACUCGUACCAGCGGUGGCGCUGGCAGCCUUCCUCCUGCGACCACCCCAGGUUCGAUGCGCGGUUGCUGCUGGAGCGGCUGUGGAAGAAGAGGCUGAUGUUCGUGGGGGACUCCCUGAAGUCGAUGGUGUGCCUGGUGUCGUCGGCGAUCCCGUCGCGCGACCAAAAGUCCCUGGCCAAGUUCGUGGGGCCCAACGGCUCUCUCAACGUGUUCAUGGCGGCGGAUUACAACGCGACGGUGGAGUUCUACUGGGAGCUCCAAGCCUCCAACUCGGAUGACCCGCAGGCGCACGGCGUGCUGGACCCCGUCAUCGCCUGGCGGUCCAUUCCCAAGCACGCCCGGCACUAG
RNAcentral lists this ribosomal RNA (483 nucleotides) under Triticum aestivum (bread wheat). RNAcentral describes it as "partial small subunit ribosomal RNA". The record is from RNAcentral. Lineage: Eukaryota; Viridiplantae; Streptophyta; Magnoliopsida; Poales; Poaceae.